GACAGCAGUCGCCGCGGGAAUACGGAGGGUGCAAGCGUUAAUCGGAAUUACUGGGCGUAAAGCGCACGCAGGCGGUCUGUCAAGUCGGAUGUGAAAUCCCCGGGCUCAACCUGGGAACUGCAUUCGAAACUGGCAGGCUAGAGUCUUGUAGAGGGGGGUAGAAUUCCAGGUGUAGCGGUGAAAUGCGUAGAGAUCUGGAGGAAUACCGGUGGCGAAGGCGGCCCCCUGGACAAAGACUGACGCUCAGGUGCGAAAGCGUGGGGAGCAAACAGGAUUAGAUACCACCGUAGUCCCUGUCUCUUAUAC
This 306-nucleotide ribosomal RNA is filed under the name uncultured bacterium. RNAcentral's name for it is "partial 16S ribosomal RNA". It matches the Rfam family "Bacterial small subunit ribosomal RNA", at positions 507 to 807 of the family's 1533-position model. The record is from RNAcentral.